GGAAAUAACAAACUUUUUAGAAGUGUUGCUUUGAAGAGGCAAAAAAAAAGCAUAAAUAACGCUUUCUAUUCCAU
Molecule: transfer RNA, 74 nt
Filed under: Pediculus humanus corporis (human body louse)
Lineage: Eukaryota; Metazoa; Arthropoda; Insecta; Psocodea; Pediculidae
Also listed under: 1 other name
Description: tRNA-Phe
Source: RNAcentral